CUGCUUGCUGAAGUUUUACAAAGAACCAGCCCCACAUUAAGAAACAGGAUAUUAUCAGUACCCCAGAAACGCCCACAAAGCUUGUGGGAUCUCAGUUCCCCAACCAGGGAAUGAACCCGGGCCACAGCCGUGAACACCCGGAAUCCUAACCACUGGACCACCAGGGAACUUCCCAGCAUGUUGUUUCUUCAUUCUUCUUGCGGUAUAAUGUUCUAUUGUGUGACUACACCACUGUUGACAGUCAUGAGCUGGGUCAAAAUGAAUCUUGCUGUGAUUUAUGUUGUAGAGUGGAGAACAGUAUUUCUUACAGUCUGUAGACCAGAAUCA
Long non-coding RNA from Physeter macrocephalus (sperm whale), 327 nucleotides. RefSeq lists it as uncharacterized. The transcript is spliced from 3 exons. NCBI's taxonomy places the organism in Eukaryota, Metazoa, Chordata, Mammalia, Artiodactyla, Physeteridae. The record is from RefSeq and is a predicted model, not a curated record.